GCAGCAACAAACAUUAAAUCCUCAUUCCACACUGGGUUCAUUGUCCGAGUUUGGAUCAUCUUAGUCUUUAAGACCUGGUUACCUAUCUGUACCCUGACAUAAGCAUCUGGAAACCGAUUCUUGUCAUGAACAACCAGGUCUUGAGCCUCAAUCACAUUAACCCGAACAUACCAUAACCUUGGAGAAUGGUAAACUUUAGAGCGUAU
RNAcentral lists this unclassified non-coding RNA (206 nucleotides) under Hevea brasiliensis (rubber tree). The record is from RNAcentral. Lineage: Eukaryota; Viridiplantae; Streptophyta; Magnoliopsida; Malpighiales; Euphorbiaceae.